Molecule: ribosomal RNA, 485 nt
Filed under: uncultured bacterium
Lineage: Bacteria
Description: partial 16S ribosomal RNA
Rfam family: Bacterial small subunit ribosomal RNA
Source: RNAcentral
GACGAACGCUGGCGGCGUGCUUAACACAUGCAAGUCGAACGGGAUCCAUGGAGUAGCAAUACUCCGGAAGAUCUAGUGGCGAACGGGUGAGGAACACGUGAAGAACCUGCCCUGGACUCUGGGAUAACAGUUGGAAACGACUGCUAAUACCGGAUGUCGUUGUUGGAGUCGCAUGGCUCUACAACGAAAGUUUUUCGGUCCAGGAGGGCUUCGCGGCCUAUCAGCUAGUUGGUGAGGUAACGGCUCACCAAGGCAUCGACGGGUAGCUGGUCUGAGAGGAUGAUCAGCCACACUGGGACUGAGACACGGCCCAGACUCCUACGGGAGGCAGCAGUGGGGAAUCUUGCGCAAUGGGCGAAAGCCUGACGCAGCAACGCCGCGUGCGGGAAGAAGGCUUUAGGGUUGUAAACCGCUUUCAGCAGGGAAGAAAAUGACGGUACCUGCAGAAGAAGGUGCGGCCAACUACGUGCCAGCAGCCGCCGUAA